GUAGGGUGCGAGCGUUAAUCGGGAAUUACUGGGGCGUAAAGCGUGCGCAGGCGGCUUUGCAAGACAGAUGUGAAAUCCCCGGGGCUCAACCUGGGGAACUGCAUUUGUGACUGCAAGGCUAGAGUACGGCAGAGGGGGAUGGAAUUCCGCGUGUAGCAGUGAAAUGCGUAGAUAUGCGGAGGAACACCGAUGGCGAAGGCAAUCCCCUGGGCCUGUACUGACGCUCAUGCACGAAAGCGUGGGGAGCAAACAGGAUUAGAUACCCUGGUAGUCCACGCCCUAAACGAUGUCAACUGGUUGUUGGACGGCUUGCUGUUCAGUAACGAAGCUAACGCGUGAAGUUGACCGCCUGGGGAGUACGGCCGCAAGGUUG
RNAcentral lists this ribosomal RNA (373 nucleotides) under uncultured organism. RNAcentral describes it as "partial 16S ribosomal RNA". It matches the Rfam family "Bacterial small subunit ribosomal RNA", at positions 527 to 896 of the family's 1533-position model. The record is from RNAcentral.